Dipodomys ordii (Ord's kangaroo rat) is the source of this 65-nucleotide non-coding RNA. Lineage: Eukaryota; Metazoa; Chordata; Mammalia; Rodentia; Heteromyidae. The record is from Rfam.
GGUGGCUCAGUGGUAGAGCGCUUGCCUUGCAAGCAUGAGGCUCUGGGUUCAAUUCCUCAGCACCA